CCUGCUGCCACUCCUCCUGCUGCCACUCCACCUGCUGCCACUCCACCUGCUGCCACUCCACCUGCUGCCACUCAGAGCAGGCCCCUGACGGCUGCCGGCGUUAACGCUCUGCUGGCACGUGGGAAGCAUUUGUCUCCCUCACAGUUGGCAUGAAAAAUUGUUUCUCCAGCCAAACCCUCUCCAGUGCCACGUGUCCCCUCUCCGUCUACAUCCGCUGCCCGCAGACAGCUCUUUAACUGUGACGCUGUUGCUGCUGCUGGGGAUUUUUUUAAGGAGCAAGACGACCAGGAGACGGUGACUGUGGCCUCGCAAGCUGAGGAAAAACUUCCUCAAGCCUCAAGAGGCCCUGCUCCUCCUCCUCCUGCUCCUCCUCCUGCUCCUCCUCCUGCUCCUCCUCCUCCUGCUCCUCCAGCGCUGUGGACUCCUGGCCCCGUGUUCCAGCCCCCUGCAGAGCUUCCUGGACACUGGAAGGAGCAUCUUCCAUCUUUCCAGCAGGACUGGAUCCUGAAGGCUUUAUUCAGGGCUAACCCUAAAACAGGGAAGCCAGAGCUGGUGCCACAGCUCACCUCCUGGUGGUCUCCUCCCCAGCCUCCGACCACCUUCACCCAGCCUCCUGCCUCUCCUGAUCUCUUCUUCUGCCGCCCUUUGUUUCUCUGGAUGCCUCUGAAGAUGUUGUCCAUCAUCUGUGUCCAGCCAGCUUGCAAUAGUCACAGGCUGACAGCAGCUGGCCUGUACAGCACUGUGGUCAAGGUGCUGGACAUAGAUGGUGGUAUGAUAUGACCUCAGAGGAUCUAGAAUGCAAAGGGUGCAAGAAGAAGUAUCCGGCCUGGUCAGAGGACAUCCUGGGUCAGCUGGACAUCCUGGGUCAGAGGACAUCCUGGGACAGCUGGACAUC
This is a long non-coding RNA of Fundulus heteroclitus (mummichog), 895 nucleotides long. RefSeq lists it as uncharacterized. The transcript is spliced from 4 exons. NCBI's taxonomy places the organism in Eukaryota, Metazoa, Chordata, Actinopteri, Cyprinodontiformes, Fundulidae. The record is from RefSeq and is a predicted model, not a curated record.